Molecule: ribosomal RNA, 775 nt
Filed under: uncultured Neocallimastigales
Lineage: Eukaryota; Fungi; Neocallimastigomycota; Neocallimastigomycetes; Neocallimastigales
Description: partial large subunit ribosomal RNA
Rfam family: Eukaryotic large subunit ribosomal RNA
Source: RNAcentral
AGAGAGAGACAUGCGCGCAUAUCAAUAAGCGGAGGAAAAGAAACUAACAAGGAUUCCCCUAGUAACGGCGAGUGAAGCGGGAAGAGCUCAAAUUUGAAAUCUUAAAGGGUUUCCCUUUACGAAUUGUAGUUUAAAGAAGUGUUUUCUGUUGAGGUUUUGGUAAAAGUUCUUUGGAAUAGGACAUCAUAGAGGGUGAGAAUCCCGUAUUUGACCUUUACUUUCAACUUUGUGAUACACUUUCAAAGAGUCGGAUUGUUUGGGAAUGCAGUCCAAAAUGGGUGGUAAAUUUCAUCUAAAGCUAAAUAUUGGCGAGAGACCGAUAGCGAACAAGUACCGUGAGGGAAAGAUGAAAAGAACUUUGAAAAGAGAGUUAAACAGUACGUGAGAUUGUCAAAAGGGAAGCGUUUGACACCAGUGUUGUUUUUCUGAAAAUCAAUUAAAGAACUGUUUAUGCUAAGUUGUUUAGACUUUAUCAGCUAACUGUUUAGUUUUGAGCUUUUCUUUAAUGCACUUUUCAGGUUAACAAGUCAACAUCAAUUUCUUUUGCUGUAAAAAAGCUUGAGGAAGGUGGCUUGAGAUUCGUCUUAAGUGUUUAUAGCCUCUUGCCUAUGCAGUCGGAGAGAUUGAGGUCUGCAGCGUAGAUCCUUCGGGGCUAAAUGCAUUUGUGCUAAGUUAUAGCAUUUUAUAGACAACUUGUUGACUAUGAUUUGUCUUGUAGCUUACUCGCUUAUGUUAUUUUACCUACGCUUAGGAUGUUGAGCGCAUGUCUCUCUCU